RNAcentral lists this ribosomal RNA (253 nucleotides) under uncultured bacterium. RNAcentral describes it as "partial 16S ribosomal RNA". It matches the Rfam family "Bacterial small subunit ribosomal RNA", at positions 524 to 776 of the family's 1533-position model. The record is from RNAcentral.
UACGUAGGGCGCAAGCGUUGUCCGGAAUUAUUGGGCGUAAAGAGCUCGUAGGCGGCUUGUCACGUCGGGUGUGAAAGCCCGGGGCUUAACCCCGGGUCUGCAUUCGAUACGGGCUAGCUAGAGUGUGGUAGGGGAGAUCGGAAUUCCUGGUGUAGCGGUGAAAUGCGCAGAUAUCAGGAGGAACACCGGUGGCGAAGGCGGGUCUCUGGGCCGUAACUGACGCUGAGGCGCGAAAGCGUGGGGAGCAAACGGG